CACUCAUCUCAACUGUCUGCUCUAAGGAAGCUUUUUAUUCCUAGAUUGAAGCAGAAAAGAGCACACGUGGAAGGUACUAAGCUUGAUCUUUUGGCCUGGUUAGUGGCUCUGAGCAAGGCUGCGUGUCCUCUGCUUCUGCUGAAGCUACAAGGCAAUGGUCAGGUGAAAGCAGAAACUCAAAGCAAGCACUCUGGGAGCCAAACAGGAGGCUGGCAUGUCCCCCCCGCCACAUGGCACGCAUUUCCCCAGAAGUACCCCUGCCAAGGCCAUGCAUAUCUCUAUAAUUUGGUGCGUUCGGCUCCCCGUCCACAUCCCAUUUGUCUUUACCUCUAGCAUGCGAGUACUGUGAUCUGUUAUUUUCAGGGACUGUCUUUCAGAUGUGAACAUCUCAGACCUGUGACUUGAUCCUUAGUAUUAUACAGCAACUGUUUUUUUCCAUUUAUUGGCAGUGUUUAACUACUAUUUUUAGAGGGAAUUAAAAAAUGAUAAAGCACAUAAAAGCUCUUUUGGUAAUUUAAUCUUGUAUUUUUCAUUAGGCCAUGAGCUGGUUGUAGUGAGAAUGGAAGCAUAGAAGGCGGUUAAUGUAUGAAGUGCCUUCAGCUAUUGCAGAGCUAAGUCAGCUCUUCCACGUAGACAGUGGGAGGGUUGCAUUUAAAACUCAUGAAGACAACCCUGAAAAGACUAGAUUAGUUCUGAUGUGUUGUUCCUGCCUUUAUCCCUUACACAAGCAGCAGAUGGUUCAUCAUGUUACAUUUUAUUGACCUACAGGAAGUGAUAGAGGAGGUGUUUCUUGUCACUCCUACUUGCUACAGAACCUAUAAAAGUUGCUUUUAGCUGUUAACUAGCGACUUUAAAUUGGGAAUCUGUCUUAUUUAAUGAGGAGAGGAAAAGAGGCAAAAAUCAAUGGGAGUAAGGUUUGUAAAUAUGUUAUCUGAAUCCCCUGGGCUUAUUAGGUAGGGUAGUCUUGCAGAUAUCAAGAGCCAAAUGAAAAUCCUUGAGGUAAUUUCAUGCCGUGUUGUUCCAUACUUGUAAUUCUUUGGCUGCGCAGAUGAUUUUGUAUCUGACCAGACUAAGUAAGUUGGGUGAGUCACCCAUUAAGAGGAUUAAAUGCUGCUGGCUAGAAGAAAGCAGAGACCAGGCUUUCAUGUGUGGUGUGUGGUUGAACUAGUGUGAUAAAAGAAAUGCAAGAAACAAUCUAACUUUCAUUUCUGACAUCCUUAGAUAAGAGAAAAAUUUGUAGAUGC
Non-coding RNA from Phasianus colchicus (ring-necked pheasant), 1244 nucleotides. The record is from RefSeq and is a predicted model, not a curated record. NCBI's taxonomy places the organism in Eukaryota, Metazoa, Chordata, Aves, Galliformes, Phasianidae.